This 353-nucleotide unclassified non-coding RNA is filed under the name soil metagenome. RNAcentral's name for it is "partial contains 5.8S ribosomal RNA, internal transcribed spacer 2, and large subunit ribosomal RNA". The stretch from base 1 to 120 matches the Rfam family "5.8S ribosomal RNA", at positions 35 to 154 of the family's 154-position model. The record is from RNAcentral.
GAUGAAGAACGUAGCGAAAUGCGAUAAGUAAUGUGAAUUGCAGAAUUCAGUUAAUCAUCGAAUCUUUGAACGCACAUUGCGCCCGCCAGUAUUCUGGCGGGCAUGCCUGUUCGAGCGUCAUUACAACCCUCAGGCCCCCGGGCCUGGCGUUGGGGAUCGGCGGAAGCCCCCUGCGGGCACAACGCCGUCCCCCAAAUACAGUGGCGGUCCCGCCGCAGCUUCCAUUGCGUAGUAGCUAACACCUCGCAACUGGAGAGCGGCGCGGCCACGCCGUAAAACACCCAACUUCUGAAUGUUGACCUCGAAUCAGGUAGGAAUACCCGCUGAACUUAAGCAUAUCAAUAAGCGGAGGA